RNAcentral lists this long non-coding RNA (21933 nucleotides) under Sorghum bicolor (sorghum). RNAcentral's name for it is "long non-coding RNA (SBIC_LNC001164)". The stretch from base 8840 to 8948 matches the Rfam family "Plant small nucleolar RNA R71". The record is from RNAcentral. Lineage: Eukaryota; Viridiplantae; Streptophyta; Magnoliopsida; Poales; Poaceae.
UCAGCUCCUGCAUGGAACCAUGCCCUACAACCAAUAUAUUCAGCUCCAGAUGAUUUUCAGGUCAUUGACUUGGGAGAAGACGAGUAUGAUCCACUCACCAUCCUUGGAAGACUGUUCCUCAGCACUAUCAAAGCCAUUAUCUAUAUUGGAACCAGAGAAGUCCACAUGCACUUCCCCUCUGAGAAGGUACGCCACUACUUUAAUAAUUCUAACUAUAUAGUUGAAGAUUCUAAGCAGGUCAGGACAAGAAGACGACGCAACCGUAACCAGAGGAGGAAAAUCAUCAAGAACGGAUGGGUAGACUACGAAGGAGAAGUGAUAAGGACUGAAGACAUAUAGCUUGAACAGAACUGCCCUGAGGAGACCAUAGCACCGAGUCAGGUGUGGAGAGAGAAGAUAGUUAUACACGAAGAGAGGCGCCGCCGGAAUCACCGACUACGCCACCUAGCGAAUCCCAGGACGACUGAGAAAACAGAGAGUCCCGUUCGGAGGACUUAAAAAUACCGAACGCCUUGCCAAGAGGUAAACUUGGUAGUUACCCUUUCCUUUCAAUUAUUCAAUUAUAAUUUGCUUAGUUAAUCAGGUUUAUGCUAUCUUGAAAAGAAAAUAAAAAUGUUAAAAAAUAGUAAGCCCCAUGUGAGUAUGCUCAUGGCAUAAAACCCAUAAGUACAUUCACUGUGGUGGCAUAAAAAUAAAAUAAAUAAUUUUUCAUCUUACAAUAAGAAUAUAUAAAAUAUAUAUAUAUAUAAUAAUAAUAAUAAUAAUAAUAAGUGUAUGAUCCUGCUAAAUAAAUAACAUUUAUUAAGGAAGCUCAACAUGAUGAAGGCUAGAUAUUUAUGCUAACACUUAAUUAGUUCCACAAGCUUUGUUGUCUAUUUGAGCUCCACAGAAUUUAAGAAUCAAGAAGACUAGCAGACGGAUGACAUUCUAAUCGCUGUCAGAAUGCUGCUGACUUUCAAAUACACCUAUGCCACCUGCUAGCUACAUCAAGAGAAAUUACGUCAAAAUUCAGCUUGGGGGAGAGCACCCCCAUUUAUCCCGAUAAGUAUUUCUAUCUAUCUUUAUACUUAUAUUAUAUUAAAAUAUAGAUAUACAUAACUAUGGAAAAACCAAAUAAAGAUUUUGUGCUUAUAUAUAUCUUUUGCUUAGUAUGUUUAAUAAAUAAAUAAAGUGGCUAUGCUAAUCUGAAUCUUAAUAAUAAAACUCUAGCAUGGAUAUGAUGAAUAGUUGCUCUGCCUAAUUUGCAAUUUUGAAGUUCCCUCUCAAGUUUAGACAUAACUGUUAUAAUUUAAAGCUUGCUCUAGAUCUAAACUUGUGGGAUGAAAACUUGAUCUGAAAUCUAAGUUGUUAACGGAUAUGAUAUGGGAAGGUUGAGCUGCUGUUUAUCUAUCUGUUCCUAGAGAUGCUAGAAUUCUGGAAAAUUUUAUCUUAAAAAAUCUUUAAAAUAUUGCAUGAUGAGUUCCUGUAUGAUGAGAGUUUCAAUUCCUACCACAGCCAUAUAUACAUGCUUGCUAGACUUUGAGCCACACAUUUACUAUUUACUGCUUAUGAGCAUUGAGUGUGGUCAAGGUGUGUAGACCCUUAGGAGCUUGUCAUGUGGUUAAAUCAAGAUUCACUUGCACGUUCACUCAUAUAUGCUACUUCUACUCCGGAAGUACCAUCCACAUAUAUCCAUCCAUUUCCGUCUCUAGCAUCACCCAAAAAUAUUCUACUCCUAAUCCGGGAGAGAAUAGUCAAAAACAUUUUCCUAUCCCUGUUAUUCCCUGUGAAAUAAAUGCUCCAAAUAUUUUGGUUACUACCACUUGCUAUAUUAUCUCAAGAGAUGAGUGCUCUAAAAAAAGAAAGAAAUAAAAGAGAAAUAUAUAUAUAUAUAUAUAUAUAUAUAUAUAUAUAAACGAGAAAAUAAAAAGGGGCAAGUGCCCGGAACCUCGAAAGAAAGAAAAAGUGAGACGAGAGGUAAAAAUGGACAAGUGUCCGACAGUAGAAUUAGGGGUACAAGAUACCCACCUGAGAGGAAAGAAAAAGAAGAGCAUCUCAUUCUCCUCAUAAAGUUUCAAAAAGCAAGGAAGGUAUGUAUCCCCUCAAAAGAGCAAAAGUAGAAUUAGACUUUCACCAUUGUUAUUACCAUCAUCACCAUACACCAUUCAUUCGCCACACAUGCACAUCUUGAUUUGGCUUAUUGAUUUGUUUCUCUGGAUCCAUGGUUUGACUAUGCAAUAAAUGUCUUGUAAGUAUGUAUUACCUGUCUCCCACCUAUGAGCUCCAGAUAUCAAGCCUUAUUAGAGUAGGGUGAGAGAGAAGGCAAUGUCACUAUGCCUUAUACCAUAAAUACCAUAUAUCUUGAGAGAAGGCAUAUACCAUCAAUGCCUUGGUAAGGAUCCAGAAAUACCACAAAAGAGAGAUAUGAGAGAGUCAUACAAGGAAUCUCUGAGUUUUAUUUGAAAAUCUGCAAAAACCCCAGAGCUAUAGCUGAUCAAGAAUAAGAGACAUGGCACUUGGCUAGACUGUUCUAUCUUUUAACCUCUCAAGAUAGAAGUGACGGUUACAAGUCCCAUGGUGAAGGUAAAGUAAGUUUUAAGUCUUGACAGUUUACUCUAACUCAGAGAUGAGAUCUUAUUUAAAAAGCAUGUGUACCGUCAAAUUUUUAAGAUAUUGCAACAACUUCUAAUCCAUUGCUGAGUCUAUCCUUGCUCAGGGACGAGCAAGAGGUAAGCUUGGGGGAGUUUGUUGACGGUCCUUAAGUAUCAAAUUUAAUUAUCAAAUAAACAAAGAAAAGGAUCUAAAUGAAAUCAACAUCUAGACUUAGGGUUUUAUCUGACAGAAUUCCACGAGUUUUGGUGUUUGUCUAUUUCUGCAGGGGGUUAUCAGGAAAUAAGGAAGAAAGGCCCACAUGUCAGGAUUACAUAGAGAUAUCAACGCACCGCGUAAUUUUCUACCAUCUAGAAGACUCCAGAAGCCACGAGACCGAAGCGGAGGCGAAACGGGGCCAGGCCCAGGGCGCCCGCCCUGAGGACCUAGGCGCCCGCCCCCUGUUGGAUUUGGUUCGGGACUCUCUUCGCACGGGAUAUUCCACCGACCUAUUGGAUCAAGGAAAACAUAGUACCACCUCGCCUAUCGACCCAAAAACGCAUAGAAGGGGAGGACUAUAUAAGGAGACCCCCCUGGCCUCUGGAGAAGACAUGAAGAAAUUAUCAUAGAGAUUGAGGGGUGCCCUCGAAGGAAAACCUCUUCUCUAAUUAAUAUUUCUUUUUAGGCUUAGCAACCAAUGUAAAGUUGAAAUAGAUCUUCUAGUUUCUACUAGAUUGAGAGAGAUAGAGUGAAGGUGUAGAUUGGAGGAAGCCCGACCUGUCGGUGUCUACUCCAAGCUUGUACCUGCGGGAUCAAGUUCUCCUAACCCGAAGCUUGCUCCUAGGAUUCUUCAGUAAUUCAACUUCUAAAUUCUAGUAAGUUCUUGUUUUAUUGUUCUUAUGGUUUAUGAGUUUACUUUAAUCUCUUCGUGUAGAGUUUAGAGUAAUCAUUGCUGGUGUAAACGUGGUGUUUAGGCUGGGGUACUCAUAGAUAUUCCCUGACUAGCUGGACCGUGGUAGUAGUGAGGAACGUGACAAUUCCGAGUUACCUUUGCAGAUCACAUCUCGUUAGCAGGAAGGAUAGGGUUUAUAGGUGCGGGUUGAACAUCCUUUGUGGUGUCUAGAUUCCGUUAGCCUCCCCAUUAGAACAGUAGAUCAUCCUUACCAAGGUUAGAAGGAGACUACGGUUGCAGUCUUCUCUAUUUAUCACUCACAUCGAGAGACAUUCUUUGUAGCCUAAAGGGAUAGUAGCAAUAGACCGGUUAGUCAGAUGCAUCCUUUCUCCCAGUGGUAAAAAUAUAAAUACGAUAACUCUGGAUAACCUCCCGGGUGAAAUGCUCACCGAUAUCCGUGCGCUUGCGGAUCUUUUCCUUAUUGCGUUACCAAAUAUCAAUAGCUGUCACCUGUGCGGACUACCACACGAACCGGCACGUCAGGGUGCCCUCGCAGAUAAACAAGAUAUCUAGACACCACGUCUACAUAUUGUCUACCAUCUACCCACCCAUGGAUUGGGUAAACGCUAUACGAGCAAUUACAUGAAUUCAAUAAGAUCAAACCAACUAUCCUAGACAAAUAAUCAAAGUAGACAAUGACUAAUGUAAUUACCGAACAUAUGAAUCUAUUAAGAAUAAAGUCUCCCUAAUAUACAAUGAAAUACUACGAAGUAGAACUAGAACUAUUACCUAACUCUUGCGCUCGAGACCAACGCUAGGGGCUCCAGAUCCCGAUGAAGAACUAGAUCUCCUCUACUUCUAAUCUAACUAACUACAACUAUGAACCAUAAGGCUCUUGAUGAACUUGAAGGCACUUGAUGCUUGAUGGCUUGAGGCUUUGAUGAAUAAUGAGGUCUGUCCCCAGGGGGGUCUGCCCACGUAUUUAUAGUCUGGUGGGAGCCGCCCGCACCGUCAGAUCAAACCAACUUACCAAAGGGCCUAGAUGACUCCUCAAAGGCGGUGGAGGAAGCUUCCAGAAGGGGGGCACCAAACCCUAGACCAGGGGGCCGACUGGCGCUAGGGUGGGGCCAGCCGGCCCCACCUGGUGGCGGCUGGUCCUCCCCUCGCGUCGGGUGUCUUCCAGAGUAUUCCUAAAUCCUCUCGCACUGUUUCUCGUGGCAGAUACGUUUCCAUGUUUGAUUUGCAUUAGAGUCCCUCUUUUGCAGCUUUCCUGAAAUUUACCCUGGAAAAUAUGGAAUAUACAAAACUCAUGGAAAUUGUUAGUUUAAACCCUAUACUAGUAUGUAUUCAUGUUCUCCUUCACGUUUAAAGUUAUAAUAAAAGUUGACGUUAUCGACCGUCAACAAUUCCCCCAAGCUUAACUUUUGCUAGUCCCUUGGCAAACUGAGCCUAAGUAGUAUAUGUAUUUGGAUCAAGAGUUGCUAUAAUGUUUUCAUUCUUUCCCAAUACACAUGAUCCAAAAAAUUAUCCUCUGGAUUAGUCAAUACUUGCUCUAAUCUUCAAACUUACCCAUUUUACCUUUAACCAUGGGGCUUUAUAGCUUUUGCAUGAGUCUUGAGCAAUCAGAAGACAGAACAAUCAGGUCAAGUACUAUGUCUCAAACUCUUUUGCAAAACCAUUAUUCUGGAGUUUCUUAUAAGUUUUUAGAAUAAAACUCAGAGCUUAAUUGUAUGACACCCUCAAGUCUCUCGAUAUAUGUGGUCUUUAUGGUUCUCUCUUGAGGCAUUUAUACCUCCUAUAGCUAAAGAUAUAUAUGGUGGAAAUAUAGGAGUGCUAAUAACAAGGUUAAGCAUACUUGCAAUGCAUGUAUUGUAAAGUCAACUAAUGGAUCCAUAGAGAAUCGAGGCAUACAAUCAAACCAAGGUGUGCAUGUGUAUGGAAUAUGGUGGAUAGGUGUUUUGUGGUAUUUGUGUCUAAUUUAUAUUUCUUUGGGAAUAACUCUCUAUUGAAACUUUUCCAGGAAAGACUUGGGCUAUCUUUAUAUAUAUAUAUAUAUAUUAUUAUUAUUAUUAUUAUUAUUAUUAUUAUUAUUAUUAUUAUUAUUAUUAUUAUUAUUAUUAUUAUUAUUAUUAUUAUUAUUAUUAUUAUUAUUAUUUCAGAGAGGCGGGCAUCUAGUACCUAUUGUUUUCAUUAUUGGGACACUUGUCCAUCUUUUACUCCUUUUUUUUAGAUUUUUGCAUAGCCACAUGUAUCCCUGAAUACAAUAAAUGAUUAGAGAGGUAAUAACAAGAACUUAGAACAUUAAAGACAAGGGUUAUCCUAUAGGUUGAUUAUUGGCGUUUACUCCCUGUGUAUGAAUAAUGCAUAUAUGAACUAGAGUGUGUACGUGAUCUUGAUUUAGAUAGCAUGACAAGACUCUCAUAAGGUAUACGACAAAGGUUGACUAAACUCAAUGCAGAGCAAGCAGCAUAAAUGUGCAAAUGUCUUCCUAACUCUAAAUAGAUAUUAUAUAUGGCUUUGGUAGGUAUUAACACUUUGUCAUACAAGAGCUCAUCAUGUAGGUUUUUAGGUUUUCAAAAUAAAUCUCUAGUACUUAGUAAUGCUAGGAAUAAGAUAAAUAGUAGCUCAAACUUUGAUCAUAUCAACCAACUACCUAAACUUAGCUCAAACUUGUGCCUCCACAAAUUGCAGGUUCAGAGUAAAUCUUCGAAUUAAAAUAGUAUUUCCUAAAAGUCGAAAGAAUCUACCGUUGGAAUCUAGAUACUUGUAAGAAUUAUAACAGAGCAACUAUUCAUCAUCUCCAAGACAAAAUUUUAAUGUUCAUCAAUUUUUGUUUAGCUCUAGUUUAGACCGACUCUAAACAGACUCUGACACUUAACUAAUUAUAAACUCACAAAAAGACUAUGACUUGUGGACCUUCAUGUCCCCACAUAUUUUUGGUAGUUUUAUGACUAUAUAGACUCGAUAAUCGGUUAGGUAUAAUUACCUCAUAACUAGGGGAUGCUCCUCCCCCAAGCUGAUGGUUGCAAUACUUGGUGUAGAUGUCCUUUAGAGUGAACUAACCUGUAGCGGACCUGGUGGGUGCCACUGAUAGACUCUCUCCUUCCUAUGAUGUCAUUCCUGCAUAAAUACUCUCCACAAAGAGAAACCCAAAACUCGAGGCUCAAAUUUAAUAAUGGGUUAGCGGUCAGCCAAUGAGAAAUUGAUUAUUCUUAUGAGCUAAUUUUAAUGUUCUUUGAUUUAAGCAGGAUUUCAAAUUUCUCUUCUUUUUUGAAUUUUGUUUUUAUAAUGCAGAAAUUAAAUAUGAAUGCUAUUUAUUUGAUUCUUAUAUAUAUAUGCCACCACAGUAAAUAUUCCUAAGGGGUAAUCAUAAGUUUAUUCAUAUGGGGAUUUGGUAUUUAUGAUGCAAUAUUUAAGCAGUAAAUAUUUUUGUUUGUAUUUUAUAUUAAUAUGCUAAGAGAAUUAAAUAUGCUACUAAGAGUGUUAAAGUGAAAUUACUAAUGCAUGCUAUUUUAACUAGAUAACUACCAUUCUGACCGUAUGGCUACGGUAUGGAAUUUAAAGUCUACCGAUAGGACUUGGAGGAUAGUGGAGAGGACUUACUUAGUGGGUUCAUUGUCUGAGGUAACCUCAGUCAACUCCCCGUCUUGCGGUGAUGCUGUACGUGUGUCUUCCUCCCAUCUUGCUUCUGUCUAUUUUGCUUCUUCUUCCACUAAUUCCAACUCUUCAGUUCUGUUCUCCUUUUCCCAGGCUUCUAAUCGAGCUAGGAUCUCCUCUUUCUCCUUCUUGGUGAUAAAAUCUGCAGGUAUAUAAUGUUCUUGAAUUCUUACCAUUACAUCCUUGACCAUUCCUUACGGGAAUCUAAAACAAAUAAUUCAUCGUAUACCUGUUUCGACAUUACGUUGCAGCCUGAUCCAAUGUCGCAGACGGUGUAAGGGAAGGUGGUGUUGUUGAUUGUGCAGUCAAUGAUUGGAACUCCUGGAUGACCUCUCUUGAUUGGACAUGGCUUGGGUAGCAUAUGAUCAUUUUCAGUAUUGAGAGCGGUGAUUAAUUGAGCUGUCUCUGCUUGCUUGGUCUUCCUCCAUCUUAUAUUGUUCUUCUUCUUUGGUACUGAUUGUUGUUCUUGCUUUCCUUGUUGGUAGAAUUGCUUCGGGGCUGUAGGAGCUUUAAGGACGCGGUUCUUGAAUGCAAAUCUCUCCUUCUUGUCUUUGAUGGAUAAGACAAUCUUGUCGUGCUCCGCAUAGAUGAUGGCCUUUGUUGUGCAUAAAAAUGGUCUGCCCAAAAAUGCAUUGGUGCCUUCUCAUCUACUUCCGUCUCCAUGACCACGAAGUCAACUAGGACAUAUGAUUGCCCCACUCUAAUGACAACUUCUUCUAGUACUCCCUCAGGGUAGCAAAUGGACUGAUCUGCAAGCUGCAAACGUAUAUUUGUGUACAAUAAAGAAUCAUUUAAUAUUUUCUCAUAAAUUACCUUGGGCAUGAUGUUGACACUUGCGCCGAAGUCACAGAUAGCCUUUGGAAAGCUGUGGCAUCCUAUAGAGAUAGGAAUGACAGGUCUUCUAGGGUGUCCUAUCUUCUCUGGUAGAGAGUGGUCAAUCCACUGUACAGCUGCAGGCUCAAUAUAACAUUGGGUUGCAUUAUGAAUAUCUACAAGGUUAGCAGUUUCUAGAUCUUCUGGUUGGCCUGGAAUCUUGCCUUUUUCUAAUGGAGGUACAACAGCAGCUAAUUGUGCUAAUUGUGAUUCUAGCAUUUUAUUGAAACUAUGUUGAUUCUUUAUAGCAGAAGCAAAUGUAUACAUCCUAGUAUGUAUGUUUUCUAAAGUUUUAUCAUUUGAUGCUAGUUUCCUAGUCAUUUGAUCUAGCAGUUUGGAUUGACUAGCGACUAAUUCUCUUAAAGGCGGAAAAUUAUUAUUAAAAUUAUUACCUUGGUUGUUACCUUGGUAAUUACCUUGUCGAGGUUGCUGAUUCCAUCCUUGAUUUUGUUGAGGAUGAUAGUAGGUGUUAUUGUUGAUGAAGUUCACAACCUCUUGUAGUGUAGGGCAACUGGUAGCUGAGUGCCCGUAGUCUCCACAUUCUUCACAUGUCAUAUGGGAAUCAUUGAUGUGCAUGACUUCCUUUUUCUCUAUGUAGAGUUUCUCCAUCAUGAGGUCUAGCUUGGCAGUGACCUUCUAAGAUUCCUUGAGAUGAUGGAUUCCUCCUCCUUUCUUCCUAGACUGAGUACGUUCUUCAUUGCAUAUUGAAUUUGAAGCCGUCUUCUCAACAAUGCUUUAGCGUCUGAGAUCUUAAGUGAUCGGAAAGCUCCCCCAGCUGCAGCAUCAAAUGACUCACGGGUACUAGAGAUGAGCCCGUGAUAGAAAGUCUGCAUUAACAGCCACUCCUCUAUCCCAUGAUGAGGACAGUCUUCUAUGUAAUUCUGGAAUCUUUCCCAUGCUUUAGUGAAUGAUUCAUCAUGUUGUUGUUGGAAACCUAAAAUCUUCCCACGCAAAGCAUUAGUCUUGGCUAUAGGAAAGAAUUUUUCCUGGAAAGCAGUCAAGCAAAGGUAGUGUUUAUAUCUGUUGGUGUAGAACCACUGCUUGGCUUACCCCAAUAAUGAGAAUGGGAAAAGACGGAGUAAGAUAGUAUCCUUUGGUACUCCUCUGAUCGUGAAGGUGCUGCAGAUCUCUAAGAAGUGUUGUAGGUGUGCACUUGCAUCUUCAUGAGCUCUUCCACAGAAUUGGCUGGCUUGAACCCUGGUGAUGAGAGGCUUGAGCUCGAAUCCAUUCUCCCUAGUAUUGACUGCUAGUCCAGUCCGAAUGUUUGCUGUUGUUGGGGCAGAGAACUCUCGCAGUGUGUUCUCAGCCAUGUCUUCAAACAUAGGAGCUAGGUUUCCUCCUAACACUUCGGCUUGUUCUUCAAAUUCCUCUUCCAAUGUUGGAGCUGGCACCUCUCAAGAGCUGGCCUGAGCAGCAGAGGGUGUUCUUGAUGAUGAUUCGAAUUUAUCCCUUGCUUCUACAAACUUCUUCCUAAGGAGUUUCUCUGGAUCUUCAAUAAAGUUUCUUGGAAGAUCAAAACCAUUCAUUCAUCACCCUACAUAAGAUAAGAAAAAUUAUAACGACGAAGGGUGUACCUGAUUGAGUAGAAAUUGAUUGGUAAUAUAACUUUAUUCAUACAUAAAUAUGUUAUCAAUAUAUCCUAAGUUUAUUAUGACUUCCCCGACAACGGCGCAAAAAAUGCUUGUUGACAUUUACUACCGUCAUCACUAAAACAGAGAUAAACCCUACUCCUAGUAACAACACCAAAAAUGCACGGUAUAUAAUUAACUUGUCAAUUAGCAACUAGCCACUUUCUUAAUUAUUAAUAUUCCUAAACAUGAAGUAGGUUGUCAUCCCUAAUUAUAUUGCUAGGAAUUUAUAGAUUCAUAUGUACUAUUGUGACUAGGCAAAAAUAAAAGAUAUGAAUAUGAUUGUAAACUAAAUGGGUUCUGCAAGCGGACAGAUAAUUAUACCGUUGUGGCAUUCUACGUAGGGAAGUAUCCAGGUUGUCAAUUUAUAUUUAUACCACUGGGAAGGCUAAGGAUUAAACUGUAUCUAUUAUAUUGAUAAGAAUGAGUAAAUGAUACUACAUAAGUCCAAUAAUCUACUCAUAACAGGCAUAGGUCACAAGAUAAAUAAUGAUAAAUAAUAGUGAUAGCAUAAUCAUCGAGUAUCAUAAAUAAGGAUAAUCAUCAGAGCAUCUACAAGUCAUAAUAAUAGUUAGCCAAUGGAUAAACUAUGGAGUUGGAUCUAUAACUAUGCCAAUGAAUAACUCUAAUUAGUGCAAUUACAUCAAGAAACAUCGUUAAGUCAACCCUAUAUCAUAAUUACAUGCAAAGAGGCAUCAACUAAUGACGGUUUUAAGACGCAACCGUCACCUCCUUCCCGACCGCGCCCAAGCUAGUCCUACAUACGGGGGGUGGACUAUAGAGGAACCAACGCAGCUGUCACCUACGCGGACUACCACAUGACCCGGCACGUUAGGGUGCCCUCGUAGAUUAACAAGAUAUCUAGACACCACGUCUACAUAUUGUCUACCAACUACCCACCUAUGGAUUGGGUAAACGCUAUACGAGCAAUUACAUGAAUUCAAUAAGAUCAAACCAACUAUCCUAGACAUAUAAUCAAAGUAGACAAUGACUAAUGCAAUUAAGAACAUAUGAAUCUAUUAAGAAUAAAGUCUCCCUAAUAUACAAUGAAAUACUAUAAAGUAGAACUAGAACUAUUACCGAACUCUUGCGCUGUAGACCAACGCUAGGGGCUCCAGAUCCCGAUGAAGAACAAGAUCUAACUAACUAGAACUAUGAACUAGAAGGCUCUUGAUGAACUUGAAGGCGCUUGAUGCUUGAUGGCUUGAGGCCUUCAUGAAUAAUGAGGUCUGUCUCUAGGGGGGUGUGCCCACGUAUUUAUAGUCCGGUAAGAGUCGUGCGCGCCGUCGGAUCAAACCGACUUAACCAAGGGCUGAGAUGACUCCUCAAAGGCGGUGGAGGAAGCUUCCAGAAGGGGGGCACCAAACCCUAGACUAGGGGCCGGCCGGCGCUAUGGUGGGGCUAGCCGGCCCCACCUGGUGGCGGCUGGUCCUCCCCUCGCAUCGGGUGUCUUCCAGAGUAUUCCUGAAUCCUCUCGCGCUGUUUCCUGUGGCGGAUAUGUUUCCGUGUUUGAUUUGCAUUAGAGUCCCUCUUUUGCAGCUUUCCUGAAAUUUACCUUGAGAAAUACGGAAUAUACAAAACUCGUGGAAAUUGUUAGUUUAAACCCUAUAUUAAUAUGUAUUCAUGUUCUCCUUCAGGUUUAAAGUUAUAAUAAAAGUUGACGUUAUCGACCGUCAUCACCACCACAGUGAGAACUCGUACAACUUUUACACUACAAGGGUUUCACAUAGAGCUAUAUAUUUUUUUAUUUUUUUAAGAUGAAUGAAUGUAGCCUAAUGCAAGAAUAUGUUUUUGUUAUUUCUAAGCAUUGCCAAUAUAGAAAAGUAAACAUACUAAAGAGAAAUUAACUCAUACAAUGUAAGGAAGUAGAUAUAGAUAACCACCGAUGUUACCUUACGGCGAGGGUUCGAUGUUUUUAGUCCUUCGAACUGGACUUCUUCUUCCACUGUUGUGUAUUUCUCCAUCUUGAGAGAUGGAGGUCUUGUUAGUUGCAUACCUCUAGUGAUGAUGAUGUCAUCUUUGUUCUUUGAUUUGGCCAGCAAGUUGAAGGAGAGUUUUAAUAGUAGCUGGCAGCAUCUUGCUCAGUGUGCAUGUUCACAAAACUUUCACUUGUAGAAUUAAUAAACUUUGCUUGAUGUGUCGUCCUGUUUGCAAAACUAAGGUAGAGAUCAAGUGCAUGGGCUCUACUGGUGGAAAAACACUAACAAAACCAAAUCUAUUUAUUUAUUUAUUUAUUUAUUUUUCUCUAUCAUUAGGCACACUAAACAAGAUAACGUUGUGUUACAUGAUUUAUUUAUUUAUGAGUGGUAAGAUUAAAAGAUUAAACAUUUAAUGUUGCAUUUAAGUUCACAUGACAGAAAAGAAUGAAAUUGCUUAACUAAUGGAAUGAUUGUUUAUCUCUAUAUAAAUUUUCAAAUAAGUAUGACUAUCAUCUUCCCAAGAUUGAAUAUAAUGUUUUAACUUAUUUAGUUAAGACUAAGAUUAAGAGGGCGGUGUCAUAAACAAUCUUAAAAGAUAAAUCAUGUUGAGUUAACCAGGUUGAUCAAUUUAAGUUGUAACUCUAACAUGUUUGUGUUUUAAUUUAUGUGCACACUAAGAUCAAGAGGAGAGAGUGACCACUUACCUUAGAAUAUUACCUUCAUUAUUAGAGCGUGAUGGCACUAACUGAUCAAGGGUAAAUGACUGGUGGUCCUUCCUCUUGCAUCUUGAGUUGUUCACAGACAUCUUGUCUCCUCUAUUGCACACAUUCUUUUACCAUCUUUUGCUUCUUUGAUCUAUUGACUCUUUUCACUUCAGUUUUUAUUAUGCCUGCAACAGAUUAGUGGACAACACAUACCCGAAGGAAUAUACAAGUAAUGACAAGGGCAUUGUUGUAAGACAGCUAAGGGUCACUUUCUAUGCUACAAAAAGGAAUUUGCUUGAGCAUACUUAGCAUAGCGCAUUUAUUAUUCACAAUUACUUCUUUCUAAGGUUUUGAAUUUAUUUUCCCAUCUUAUGUUUUGAUUCUCAAAUAUAGGCAUUAUCAAUUAGCUCAAACUUAUAGAAAUUAAGUAAUAGUGAAUUUAGAGAUUGCAAACCAGUGUGUGGAGCGAUGAGGAAGGACUCGGUUGGACCAGCUAGGGGAGUUGGCCUUCCUUCUCAACCUCAGAGGUGAGAGUGCAGAACGUUGCAUGCUUUUCUCUUAUCAAUCCUUCUUUCUUCUUAGCUACGAGUGAGUUGUAUCUUCCUUGUGCAAAAUUAUUGUAUAACUUCAUCUUUAGUGUGAGUUUAUCUCAGGACUUUCCCAAUUUGAAUUUAGAAGUUUUUCUGCAGGGGUUAGUCUAACAAAAUAUUCCAAUAUCUACUACAGCAUACUAUUGACUCAAAAAUCAACCUAGACACCACGUCUAAUUUGACUUAGGAAGGCAUUUUAAUCAUGCAUAAUUAAAAGCCUUCAAAAGUAAGAUCACCACUCCUAAAUUAAGUUCCAUACUUCAUAUUACGAGAUCAAUGAAACUACUCCAAACCUAAACAUAUACUAUAGCAAACAAAGGUAACAUAAAAGCACUAUAUAGAUUUAUUCAAAAUGUGAUGAAAGAGUAUUAUUAUUUUUUAUCACAAUGAACAUAUCUUAAAGGUAGAGGCAACCAAGCAAUGUGGCAAAAGAUGUAUCUAUGUAAGCAUAUCCCCCAAGCUUGACUUUUGCAAAGUCAAGAUUCAAUGAAAGUAAUUCAGUGUUGCAUAAUGAUUGGUUGGACAUACCUUGCAUUUGUCACUCCUUCGAUCUUAUUGCUCUAAUAUUAGAGGGUUAGUUGCAAGAAUACCCAAAGAAAUAUUUUCAUAAUUAUAAUUCUAUGAUCCAUUAAUAAGGGUAGCACAGUAGAAGAACACUCAUGUCAUGGUCUAAACAGUGCUUGUUUUAGGACACUAAGCUUGUCCAUGGGAAACCUUCAAGAUGUGGUUUGGCGAAGUGGUUUCCCAUCCAACACCACUCUAAGUGUAUUGUUCACCAUAACGAGAUCUACAAUAUUUAUGGUAAACACAUGUGUCUACAAUCACCCUCUUAAUGAUUCUAUUAAUAGGUAGAAUAAGGGGAUUGAGGAUCUCGUGUGUGAUAAUAUUAGAGACUAAUUGAUCCAGGAGAUUUCUCAUAUGAGCAUGGGUCUGAUAGGGUGUUUAAUGAAAUAAUUCACAUGCUCGAAAAUAUGAUUUCCCUUUUCACACUCCAAGGGUGUCUCUUCAUGGUUGUCUAUAGGCAAUAAGUUUACCUCUAUUAUUUCAUGUCUAUGACAUUUAUUAGAUAUUUUAUUUUCCAGGAUUUCCCAUGAAUUGAUGUCCCUAAGGUUGGUCUCGUCUAAAGCUUUCUCUAAACUUGGAUGAGUUUUGUUUAAGCUCAACAUUUGAAUUUAGACCAAGUCUAGAUGCUAGUGCUAAAACUUCAUCUUCUUCCAUCCAUUCUUUGACAAUAGCAUAUGUAUUUCUAAUAUCGUCUACGUGUUCCUCCUAUUGUUGUUGCUCUUCUUGGGUAUUUCUAUAAUUUUCAUGACUCCUAUUCUUAGGAUGUCUUGAUGGAUUUCUAGGGUCAUUAUGAAGUUUAGUAGAAGGAGCAUAAAAAGAUUUAUUAGGGUCAAGGAUGGGUUUAGAGAUAGGUUCAAAGGCAUUUAAUAUGACAUAGAAGGGGAGAAGAUAGAUUUUUUUUCUAAGUGGCUUGGCUCUCCUUCUAUGGCAUCACAUGGCAUGCCAUCCUUGAAUUUUCCCAAUGUCCUUUUAGGAAGGAAAGGAAGUUGAUGGUGUUUUUCCCAAGAUGCUCUUUUGAGAAGAUCUGAUAUGCAUUGAUUUAGGAGCAUCUUAGCUAAUUGGAAGUCUAAUUCAUUAAAGUGGAAUUUAAAGGUUUAGGAUUGAUAGCUAAAUCUUAGGAAUGAUGUGAUUGUAUUUUAGUUAUGAAGACUUUUGUUUUAGUUUGGAUAAUAAUAAAUCCUUUUCUUCUUUUUGGAGAGUUCAUAAAUAGCCAGGGCAACUCUUUUGAGCAUAAUCUCUUGCUUUUUAAAAGAUAAGAAAAAACUCUCGAGAAGUUAAAUCAAGAGAUUCCUUGUAACUCUUAGUAAGACCCAAAUGUUGAAUAAACAUGGGAGCUAGCAAACCAAGGUCAGGAUUAAUGAUCCCAUGAUAUAUUUGAGAAGGGUUUAUUAUAUUAUGUAGACAUGGGCAUAACUUAUAGGUAUUAAGAUAAGGUUUAAAUAAAUAUCCAUAAGGAUAAACAUAAAUAUCCGUAAGGAUAAACAUAAAAAUAAUGAAGAGACUAGGAUAGAAAUAGGAAAAUAUAAAUGUAUAAUACAAGAUUAAGCUAAACUAAGUCAACAUUAGUAAACAGUUCCCCGGCAACGGCGCCAAAAAUGCUUGUUGACACUUCUAACGUCAUUACUAAAAGUAGAGAUAAACCCUAUCCCCGACAACAGCGCCAAAAAUGCUUGUUGGUAUAAAUUAACUGCACUCCAUUUAAAUAAAUUUAAGUAGAAUUAUCCGCAGGUGCACAGAUAUCAUACCAGUGUCACAUUUUACCCGAGGGUUUUAAAUAUCGUAUCCACAGGGAACAGUUGUGAUGAUGACAAAGUAUAUAGACUUAACCAUACAAUUAGGCUAGAUCAUAUAAAGAAAAAGGAAAUAGCUAAUGCACUCUAAUUCUAACUCUGGUAAACUUUCUAUAAAAUCAUCUUAUCGGGCAAGUAACCCGAAUAGGAGAAGAAACAGAGUAAUCUCAUACUAGGUACCAAUAAGCCUAUCAGUCCUAUCAACGGGAAGUGUGUUGACAGUCCUUAAGUACCAAAUAUAAUCAUCAAAUAAAUAAAGAAAAGGAUCCAAAUGUAACCAACACCUAGACUUAGGGUUUUAUCUGACAGAAUUCCACGAGUUUUGGUGUUUGUCUAUUUCUGCAGGGGGUUAUCAGGAAAUAAGGAAGAAAGGCCCACACGUCGGGAUUACAUAGAGAUAUCAACGCACCGUGCAAUUUUCUACCAUCUAGAAGACUCCAGAAGCCACGGGGAGAAAGCAGAGGCCGAAAGGGGCCAGGCCCAGGGCGCCCGCCCUCCUUCCCUGGGCGCCCGCCAUGUCCUGGACUCCGUUCGGGACUCUCUUCGCACAUGAUGUUCCACUGACCUAAAGGAUCAAGGAUAACGUAGUACCACAUCGCCUACCAACCCAAAAACGCAUAGAGGAGGAGGACUAUAUAAGGAGACCCCCCUGGCCCCUGGAGAAGACAAGAAGUUAUCAUAGAGAUUGAGGGGUGUCCUCGAAGGAAAACCUCUUCUCUAAAUAAAAUUUCUUUUUAGGCUUAGCAACCAAUGUAAGUAGAAAUAGAUCUUCUAGUUUCUACUACAUUGAGAGAGAUAGAGUGGAGGUGUAGAUCGGAGGAAGGCCGGCCUGUCGGUGUCUACUCCGAGGUUGUACCUGCGGGAUCAAGUCUUCUAACCCGAGGCUUGCUCCUAAGAUUCUUCAGUAAUUCGACUUCUAAUUCUAGUAAGUUCUUGUUUUAUUGUUCUUUGGUUUAUGAGUUUACUUUAAUCCUCUUUCGGUUGAGUAUUAGAGUAAUCAUUGUUGGCGUAAACGUGGUGUUUAGGCUAGGGUACUCAUAGAUAUCCCCUGACUAGCUGGACCGUGGUAGUAGCGAGGAACGUGACAUUUCCGAGUUACCUUUGUAUCCCAUAUCUUGUUAGCAGGACGGGUAGGUUUAUAGGUGCGGGUCGAACAUCCUUUGUGUUGUCUAGAUUCCGUGAGCCUCCCCAAUAGAAUAGCAGAUCAUCCUUACCAAGGUUAGAACGAGACUACGGUUGCAGUCUUCUCUAUACAUCGCUCACAUCGAGAAACAUUCUUUGUAGCCUAAAGGGAUAGUAGCAAUAGAUUUAGUUAGUCAGAUGCACCCUUUCUCCCAGUGGUAAAAAUAUAAAUACGAUACUCUGGAAAACCUCCCGGGUGAAAUGCUCACCGAUAUCCGUGCGCUUGCGGAUCAUUUCCUUAUUGCGUUACCAAAUAUCAACAAGCAUUUCUAGCGCCGUUGCCGGGGAGAAAGAUGGUUUGCUGAGAUAACUUUAAGUCUUGCUAUUAUCUUGUAUUAUACUUUUAUACUUUUAUUCUUUUAUCUUUUUAUCUUUAUGGAUAACUUAAAUUCCAUACCUAUUAUCGAAUUUUUUGCACCUUCGGAGACCAGCCAUAGACCAUGGGAGUCAACAAGUUCUGCCCCUAAUUAUGAUCUGUGUCCGGAGUUGAUUGCAAUUGGUCAAAACCAACCCUUUUCUAUAGCCGAGGUCCUAUCUUUUAAUCAAGAAGAUAAUGCACUUUUAGCUACACCUAGGGAAUCUGUUAAUCUUUCUAUAAAUUCUGGUUUAGACCUAGCCCUACAAGACCAUGUUUUUUCUCGAUAUUUUCACAUUGGUCUUAAUCAUAUAACCUUUGGUAGAGUCUUUCUUUCUUUAUCUAUUAGUAAACGAAGGUAUGUCUUCAUUUGUGGAGAUCCUUCUUGUACUAGUCUUCAUAGAAAAAUCUUAGAGAUAGAGAAGGAAUCAUCUCCCAGACAAGGAAAGGAAGUUUCAAUAGCCAAUUUCCAAACAUUUCAAUCCCAUGAUUCGGCUAUCCAUCCCAUCCUUGAGCUUAAUAGUUUCUACUAUGCUCUUUCUCUUGAACCUCCCAUAAUCCUAUGAAUCUCUCUAGACAUCCCAUGCAUAAGAAGGAGGAUCGGGAAGAGCAACAUCAAUGGCUAGAGGGCAUUAAAAAUCCAUGUGCUAUCACCAUUGAAUGGAUAGAUAAAACAAAGUUGAGAGACAAUCCUAGAGGAAUUUUGAACAUUCAUGAAGAAUCAUCCUUGGAGUUUGAGAAUGAGAGAAACAACAGUGAGCAUAGAAGUUAUUUCAUAAAUACCUCAUCAAGUCCUUGCUCAUAUAAAACAUCUCCCCAAUCAAUUAGUCUCUCCAACCUUACCACAUUUGAGAUCUCCAACUCCCUCUUCCUUUUUAUUUAUAAAAACUUUAAAAGAGCGGUUGUCGAUGCAUAUGUCUAUAAUAAAUAUUGCAGAUCUCGAUGAGUUGAUUGAUGGUUUCCCAAGGACAAGCUUAGUGUCCUAAAACAAGCACUGAUCAGAUCGUAACAUGAACUUUUAAUUAUUUGCAACAUUGCCUUGUGUAUUGAGCAUAUAAAGAUAAUUGUAGAAAUAUUCCUUCGAGUAUUCUUGCCACUAACCUUUCUAGGAUUGGAGCAAGAAGAUUGGAUGAAUGACAAGCACAAGGUAUGUCCAACCAAUCAUCAUACAACAUUUAAUUAAAUUCAUCCAACUUGAAUUUUGCAAAAUUCAAGAUUGGGGGAGUACUUUACAUAAAAACAUCAUUUGCCAUGUUGCUAUGUUGGUUAUCCCUACCUUUGAGACAUGCUCAAUUUGUUAAAUACUAAUCACACUACUUCAUCUCCACUUGAGUAGAUCUCUAUAAAUGCCAUCAUGCUACCUUUGUUUAUCCUAGUAAGUGUUGGUUUGGAAGUACUCGACAUACUUCCAUUGGCAUUUAAAUUAAGCAUGGUGCUUAGGUUAAACAGCCUUCCUUGAUCUGAUUAGACAUGGAGUCUAGUUUGGUUACCGAACUAAAAACUGCUUGAGUAGACAUUUGUAUAUUUUGUCGGACUAACCCCUGCAGGAAAACUUUCAUUAUCAACUUGGGAAGUCCUGAGAUACAAACUCACAUUGGAGAUAAAGGAGACACAUGAAAUUUAACGACUUGCACAAGGAACACAUAGCUCAUUCAUCAUAAAGAGAUGAUCCAUGGAGGGUGCCACAAACACGAUGCACAACCGCUAAGAAAGGAAAGCUUCCACAAGGUGAUACUAUACCAUCACUCUUCAAGUAAGGUAACAUCUUAAGGUACUUGACUAUCGCUUUUAUAAGCUUCUCCUUGGUUUUGGCGUUCACAUGAAUAAAGAGACAAACAUGUAUGAUUUGUAACUCCAAAUUAACCAACCCAAAUUAAUUCAACAUGUUUAGUCCUUUAAUCUUUAUUCUUAGUACUACCUUCAUGAUUCCACACUCCUAAUCAUAUAAGCUAAAGUAUUGCACAUUCAAUCUUUAGAAGAUAUAAACAAAACAUAAAUAUAGAUAGAUUAUCUUUCCACUAGGUUGAGCCAUCUGAUCUGACAAAUGUUUUAAAUGCUACACUCAUGAUCCUAUCAACUUUGUCUUGCUCACUAUGAUUAAGAUUAGAGAAGAACAAACACACUUUUGGUUCUGUUGGUGUUUUUCACCAACAGGGCCCAUGCACUUGAUCUCUACCUUGUCUCUAUGAGCAGGAACAUUUCGAGCAUAAUAUGAAGGAGUUUUACAACUCCCAGACUCCACCUAGUGAAGGACCUGGAUCUACAAUCACAAACACACUAAGCAGGAUAUUACCAACACCGCACUUCGAACUGCUGGGCAAUCAAAGAAUAUAGGUGACACCGUAUCAAGAAGUGCAGACGUCAAGGUCCACACCUAAUCAAAUGAUGCACCUAAAGGAUGAAGACGGUGAGAAGUCUUGUCCAGAAGACUUAAAACAUUGGAUCCUUAUCGGAGGAGGUCAAGAUCGUCGACUCAAGUCGCCUUUCCUGAUCAAGAAGGACGACCCUGGUGUUCCAAGCAUUGAGUGCACAAUCAACAGAUACUCUUUUUAGAAGACACUCUACGACACCGGAUCUGACGUCAACAUAAUGGCCGCAGACACUUAUCAGCUCUUGCAUGGAACCAUGCCCCUACAACCAAUAUAUAUUCAGCUCCAGAUGACAGAUCAGACAUUCCGAAAGGUUGAAGGUCAUUGACAUGGGAGAAGACGAGUACGAUCCACCCAUCAUCCUUGGAAGACCAUUCCUCAACACUAUCAAAGUUAUCAUCUACAUUGGAAUCGGAGAAGUCCACGUAUACUUCCCCUCUGAGAAGGUACGCUGCUAUUUUACUGACCCUAACUAUAUAGUUGAAGACUCUAAGUAGGUCAGGACAAGAAGAAGACAACGCAACCGCAACCAGAUGAGGCAAAUCAUCAAGGACGGAUGGGUAGACUAUGAAUGAGAAGUGAUAAGGUUUGAAGACAUACAGCUUUAACAGAACUGUCCUGAGGAGACCGUAGCACCGAGUCAGGUAUGGAAAGAGAAGAUAGUUAUACACGAAGAGGAGGCGCCGCCGGAACCACCGACUAUGCCAUCCAGCGAAUCCCAGGACGACUAAGAAACGGAGAGUCCCGUUCGGAGGACUUAAAAACACAUUACGCCUUGCCAAGAGGUAAACUUGGUAGUUAUCCUUUUCCUUUCAAUUACUCAAUUAUAGUUUGCUUAGUUAAUCAAGUUCAUGCUAUCUUGAAAAGAAAAUAAAAAUGUUAAAAAUAGUAAGCCCCAUGUGAGUAUACUCAUGGCAUAAAGCCCAUAGGUACAUUCACUGUGGUGGCAUAAAAUAAAUAUGUUUUCAUCUUACAAUAAAAAUAUAAAAAUGAUAAGUGCAUGAUUCUGCUAAAUAAGUAACAUUUAUUGAGGAGGCUCACCAUGAUAAAGGCUAGAUAUUUAUGCUAACACUUAACCAGUUCCACAAAGCUUUGUUGUCUAUUUGAGCUCCACAGGAUUCAAGGAUCAAAGAAGACUAGCAGACGGAGGACAUCCUAAUCGCUAUCAGGGUGUUGCCGACUUUCAAAUACACCUCCACCACCUGCUAGCUACAUCAGAAGAAAUUACGUCAAAAUCCAGCUUGGGUGAGAGCACCCCCAUUUAUCCAGCUAAGUGUUUCUACUCGCGUUUAUACUUUACUCAAAUAAUAAAAAGAUGCAUAAUCAUAAAAACCCAAAUAAAGAUUUUGUGCUUAUAUAUCUUUGCUUAGUUAGCUAAAUAAAUAAAUAAAGUUUGCUAUGAACCCUCAUGAUAAACUCUCACAUGGAAAAGAUGAAUAGUUGCUGUGCCAAGAUUAGUUCUUAAAAUUGAAAUCCCUCUCAAGUUUAGGCAUAACUGUUAUAAUUUAAACCUGCUCUAAACUUGAACUUGUGGGAAGAGUACUUGAUCUAAAGUCUAAGUCAUUAACGGAUAUGAUAUGGGAAGGUUGAGCUGCUGUUUAUCUGUUCCUAGAGAUGCUAGAAUUCUGGAGAAUUUUAUCUUUGAAAAAUCUUUAAAAUAUCACAUGAUGAGUUCCUGUAUGAUGAGAGUUUAAAAUCCUACCACAGCCAUAUAUACAUGCUUAUUAGACUUUGAGCCACACAUUUACUUUUUACUACUUAUGAGCAUUGAGUGUGGUCAAGCUGUGUAGACCCUUAGGAGCUUGUCAUGUGGUUAAAAUCUAGAUUCACUUGCACGUUCACUCAUACAUGCUACUUCUACUCCGGAAGUACCAUCCACGUACAUCCACUCAUUUCCAUCUCCAGAUUCACCCAAAAUCAUUCUACUCCUAAUCCGGGAGAGAAUAGCCAAAAACAUUUUCCUAUCCCUGUUAUUCCCUAUGAAAUAAAUGCUUCAGUUAUUUUGGUUACUACCACUUGCUAAAUUAUUUCAGGAGAAGAGUGCUCUAAAAAAAGAAAGAGAAAAAAAUAAAUGAAUAAAUAAUAUACGAGGAAAUAAAAAGGGGCAAGUGCCUGGAACCUCGAAGAAAAGAAAAGUGAGACGAGAGGUAAAAAUGGAUAAGUAUCCGACAGUAGAAUUAGGGGUACAAGAUACCCACCUGAGAGGAAAGAAAAAGAAAAUAUAGAGCAUCUCAUUCCUCUCAAAAACCUUCAAAGUGCAAGAAAGGUAUGUAUCCCCUCAAAAGAGCAAAAGUAGAAUUAGACUUUCACCAUCGUUAUGUAACACCCAAAAAUUUUGUUUCUUUUAAAUAGAUGAAAUGAAUUUAAAUGAAUUUAUUUUGUGAGCAUUUUCAAUAUAGGAAAAUAAAAAAAUUUGGAGAAAUUAAAACUUAAUAUAAGCUUAGAGAAAACUUUAUGUUGCAUUCAUGCUGGAGUAUUCUUUUAUGUGAUGAGUGUUUUGAAAACAAAUGUCAAAUUGAUUAAAAAUCCAUUUGGAAAAUGCAUUGAAAAUUUGUUUGAAAAAAAAAUAAAAAGGAAUUUCUCUUCCCCUUCCUCUUUUCGGCCUGGAGGCCCAGCAACCCCCGCGCGCGCCCUCUCCUUCCUGGGCCGCGGCCCAGCCGCUUCCCCCUUCCCCAUCCCCUCUCUCUCCCCGCUGACAGGCCAGGCCCGCCUGUCAGCUUCAUCUUCCCCCAACCGCCGCCCCGCUCUUUCCUCUCUCUCAGUUGGAAAACCACCAAGACGCGCCCCCGCUCCCCCCACGUUCCCUCCCCCGCGCCUCGGCUUCAGUUGGAGAAAACCCCCC